GCGCACGGGUGAGUAACACGUGACUAACCUACCCUUGAGUGGGGAAUAACCUAGGGAAACCUGGGCUAAUACCGCAUAACCUACGGCAAAGGAGCGCUUAAGGAGGGGGUCGCGGCAGAUUAGCUAGUUGGCGGGGUAAUGGCCCACCAAGGCAGUGAUCUGUAUCCGGCCUGAGAGGGCGCACGGACACACUGGAACUGAAACACGGUCCAGACUCCUACGGGAGGCAGCAGUGGGGAAUUUUGCGCAAUGGGGGAAACCCUGACGCAGCAACGCCGCGUGGAGGAUGAAGUCCCUUGGGACGUAAACUCCUUUCGACCGGGAAGAUUGACGGUACCGGAAGAAGAAGCCCCGGCUAACUUCGUGCCAGCAGCCGCGGUAAUACGAGGGGGGCAAGCGUUGUUCGGAAUUAUUGGGCGUAAAGGGUGCGUAGGCGGUUCGGUAAGUCUUGUGUGAAAUCUUCGGGCUCAACUCGAAGUCUGCACGAGAAAC
Molecule: ribosomal RNA, 492 nt
Filed under: uncultured soil bacterium
Lineage: Bacteria
Description: bacterial SSU rRNA
Rfam family: Bacterial small subunit ribosomal RNA
Source: RNAcentral